This 784-nucleotide ribosomal RNA is filed under the name uncultured bacterium. RNAcentral describes it as "bacterial SSU rRNA". It matches the Rfam family "Bacterial small subunit ribosomal RNA", at positions 8 to 833 of the family's 1533-position model. The record is from RNAcentral.
AGAGUUUGAUCCUGGCUCAGGAUGAACGCUGGCGGUAUGCUUAACACAUGCAAGUCGAACGAAAGCUUUAUGCUUUAGUGGCGAACGGGUGCGUAAUACGUGAGAAUCUGCCCUUAGGAGGAGAAUAACUUCUGGAAACGAUUGCUAAGUCUCCAUAUGCCGAGAGGUAAAAUAGUUUACACUGCCUAGGGAUGAGCUCACGCCUGAUUAGCUUGUUGGUAAGGUAAUGGCUUACCAAGGCCACGAUCAGUAGCUGGUUUGAGAGAACGAUCAGCCACACUGGGACUGAGACACGGCCCAGACUCCUCCGGGAGGCAGCAGUGAGGAAUUUUCCGCAAUGGGCGAAAGCCUGACGGAGCAAUACCGCGUGAGGGAUGAAGGAUUUUGGUCUGUAAACCUCUUUUCUCAAGAAAGAAGUUCUGACGGUACUUGAGGAAUAAGCAUCGGCUAACUCCGUGCCAGCAGCCGCGGUAAUACGGGGGAUGCAAGCGUUAUCCGGAUUUAUUGGGCGUAAAGCGCCUGUAGGUUGUUUAAUAAGUCUGUUGUUAAAGACUAGGGCUUAACCCUAGGAAAGCAAUGGAAACUACUAGACUUGAGUAUGAUAGGGGUAGAGGGAAUUUCUAGUGUAGCGGUGAAAUGCGUAGAUAUUAGAAAGAACACCGGCGGCGAAGGCGCUCUACUGGAUCAUUACUGACACUCAGAGGCGAAAGCUAGGGUAGCAAAAGGGAUUAGAUACCCCUGUAGUCCUAGCCGUAAACGAUGGAUACUACAUGUUGCGUUUUUA